This 1167-nucleotide ribosomal RNA is filed under the name uncultured bacterium. Its description in RNAcentral is "bacterial SSU rRNA". It matches the Rfam family "Bacterial small subunit ribosomal RNA", at positions 128 to 1304 of the family's 1533-position model. The record is from RNAcentral.
GCCCCAAAGACUGGGAUAGUCGAGGGAAACCACGGGUAAUACCAGAUGUGGUCCUUAGAUGGCAUCAUCGAGGGAUUAAAUCGAGCAAUCGGCUUUGGGAGCGGCUUAUGUCCUAUCAGCUUGUUGGUGAGGUAACGGCUCACCAAGGCUACGACGGGUAGGGGGUCUGAGAGGAUGAUCCCCCCGAGUGGGACUGCGACACGGCCCACACACCUACGGGUGGCAGCAGUUUGGAAUAUUGCACAAUGGGGGAAACCCUGAUGCAGCGACGCCGCGUGGAGGACGAAGGAUCUAGGUCUGUAAACUCCUUUUGCCAGGAAAGACUUAGGACGGUACCUGGCGAAUAAGCCCCGGCUAACUACGUGCCAGCAGCCGCGGUAAGACGUAGGGGGCGAGCGUUGUCCGGAUUUACUGGGCGUAAAGAGCGCGUAGGCGGCUAGUUAAGUGAGAAGUGAAAUCUCCACGGCUCAACCCGGAAACUGCUUUUCAUACUGGCCAGCUGGAGGGACGCAGGGGUGACUGGAAUUCCCGGUGUAGCGGUGAAAUGCAUUGAUAUCGGGAGGAACUCCAACAGCGAAGGCAGGUCACUGGGCGUUUCCUGACGCUGAGGCGCGAAAGCGUGGGUAGCAAACAGGAUUAGAUACCCUGGUAGUCCACGCCCUAAACGAUGGAUACUAGACGUAAGAGGUAUCGACCCCUCUUGUGUCGCAGCUAACGCAUUAAGUAUCCCGCCUGGGGAGUACGGCCGCAAGGUUUGAAACUCAAAUGAAUUGACGGGGACCCGCACAAGCGGUGGAGCAUGUGGAUUAAUUCGAUACUAACCGAAGAACCUUACCCAGGUUUGACAUCGAUGGUAAGCCCGAGAGAUCGGGCCCUCUCUCACAAGGAGACCUGAAGACAGAUGUUGCAUGGCUGUCGUCAGCUCGUGCCGUGAGGUGUACGGUUAAGUCCGCCAACGAGCGCAACCCUCGUCCUAUGUUGCCAGCGAGUAAUGUCGGGAACUCAUAGGAGACCGCCGGUGUAAGCCGGAGGAAGGUGGGGAUGAUGUCAAGUCAGCAUGGCUCUUACGCCUGGGGCUUCACACAUGCUACAAUGGGCGCAACAAAGGGCACCGAAGCCGUGAGGUGGAGGCAAUCCCAAAAAUACGCCCCCAGUUCAGAUUGCAGU